RNAcentral lists this ribosomal RNA (230 nucleotides) under uncultured archaeon. RNAcentral describes it as "partial 16S ribosomal RNA". It matches the Rfam family "Archaeal small subunit ribosomal RNA", at positions 23 to 246 of the family's 1478-position model. The record is from RNAcentral.
GCCACUGCUGUUGGGGUUCGGCUAAGCCAUGCGAGUGGAGGGCGCGGUCGAAAGAUCGUGGCCCCGCACACGGCUCAGUAACACGUCGUCAACCCACCUUAGGGUGGGGGACAACCUCGGGAAACUGAGGAUAAUCCCCCAUAGGCGGGGGAGGCUAGAAUGCGCCCCCGCUGAAAGCUCAGGCGCCCUAGGACGGGACGGCGGCCUAUCAGGUAGUUGGUGGUGUGACG